GCGACCGGCAAACGGGUGCGGAACACGUACAUAACCAACCCCGUCCCGGAGGAUAGCCCGGUGAAAACCGGAUUAAUACUCCAUAGUAUAUUAGAACUGCAUGGUUUUGAUAUUAAACAUAAGGGGGGCGAGACGGAUGUGCGUAUGAUUAGUUAGUUGGCGGGGUAACGGCCCACCAAGACCACGAUCAUUAGCUGAUGUGAGAGCAUGAUCAGCCACAUGGGCACUGAGACACGGGCCCA
Molecule: ribosomal RNA, 242 nt
Filed under: uncultured bacterium
Lineage: Bacteria
Description: partial 16S ribosomal RNA
Rfam family: Bacterial small subunit ribosomal RNA
Source: RNAcentral